This 401-nucleotide long non-coding RNA is filed under the name Citrus maxima (pomelo). RNAcentral describes it as "long non-coding RNA (CMAX_LNC001264)". The record is from RNAcentral. Lineage: Eukaryota; Viridiplantae; Streptophyta; Magnoliopsida; Sapindales; Rutaceae.
GCCUCUUCAGCAAUUGUUUUUAAUUGUUGUGGCUGUUUAUUUCUAGAGGAGUCACCGUAUCUGGAUAGGUAAUUAACAAUUUCUUUUUUUUUUUCCUUUACCUUGGGUGAGGAACAUCUAAUAUUUUAAAUUUAUCUAUUUUUCAUGGCUGCAAAUUUUUAAUUUCAGCCUUGUGGAUGACUGGUGGCAUGAUAUUUGUCUUUAUAUGGGCAAAUAAAAAGGGAACAAAGACAACAAGACAAGAAUAAGUAGGUGAAUAUAUAGAGCUAGCUAGAGAUAGAAUUGAACCAGCAGGAGAAGUUAUUGGAGAGAUUACAGAAAUGUUAUAAUUUUCUUAUUAUAUUUUAACUGUAUUGGAAUUUGCCAUGAGGAUAUUUUAUUUUUUAUUUUCAGUAUUAAAA